Molecule: long non-coding RNA, 643 nt
Organism: Aethalodelphis obliquidens (Pacific white-sided dolphin)
Lineage: Eukaryota; Metazoa; Chordata; Mammalia; Artiodactyla; Delphinidae
Exons: 2
Source: RefSeq, a predicted model, not a curated record
CCCGUGUCCACGGAGGGCGUGAGGUAGGGGCGCGGCAGGGACCCGUGUCCACGGAGGGCAUGAGGUAGGGGCGCGGCAGGGACCCGUGCGCACAUCUGCUGCUUCACUUUCAGUUCAAGAGCAGCUUCGGGUUAGGACGCUGGUCUUCUGACCUCUUGACGUACAAGCAGGUGUGUUCCUGUGCGACAGGUGAGGGGAAGCCGAGACCCUCCCGUGAAGCAGCUCACUGCAGGCCAUGGACGGGAGGCGGGGUCCACAGAUGUCUCCCGAAGGCAGAAGGUUCAAGCCCUUUAAUGUAGGAAACGACGCGGCAGCCUCCUCCCCCUUAGCACCACCAAGAGCAGGUCUCAGGCGCUCCCUGCCUCCCUCAGGCACAGUUCCAUUUAUGAGAACAUCAAAUAGCAAAAAAUGCUUAGGAAUUAACUUAACCAAGGAGGUGGAAGGACCUGUACAAUGAAAGCUACGGUGAGAUGUCACCUCUCACCCGUUUGGAUGGUGACUGUCAGAAAAACAGAACAGCAAGUGUUGGUAAAGGAUGUGCAAAGAUUGGAAUUCUUGUGUUCUGUUGGUGGGAAUGCAGAGUGGUCCAGCUGCUGUGGAAAGCAAUAUGGCAUUUCCUCAAAAUAUUAAAAAUAGAAUUACA